Long non-coding RNA from Centropristis striata (black sea bass), 4644 nucleotides. RefSeq lists it as uncharacterized. Lineage: Eukaryota; Metazoa; Chordata; Actinopteri; Perciformes; Serranidae. The transcript is spliced from 3 exons. The record is from RefSeq and is a predicted model, not a curated record.
UUAAUAAUUCAGCCAGCUCUCAAAAGUCUUGCAUAUUUCACGGAUUCUUCAGCAGCGCAGUCCAGUCUGAAUGACUGUAUAUUCUCUUUUUCCUCUUUUCACUAGUUGAUAUAGUAGCUGAGGUACUGUAUAGUAUAUCCCAGUAUGGCGUGUGAGUGUGUGCACUGCGUCUGCGCACUGCUGGAGGAGUGGAUUUCUGUGUCAUUCUUCCUCCUCCACCCCUCCCACAUUUAGUGCUUUCCACCCUCCCACUCUCCCUCUCCCUCUCUCUCUCUCUCUCUCUCUCUCCCUCUCUUUCCUUCUGUGUCUCUGUCUCCCACCCAUCUUAUGCUCCCUCCCUCCCCUUCCUCCCUCCUUCCCCCCCACCCCGUCUCCGGUGCAAAUACAGUUCCUUGCCGUGUUGGACAUGUGAUGAAAAAGUGACUGGUUCGCGCGCUCCACCGCACCUCCUAUUUCAUCAUCAGCGGAGCAUUUCUCCCCUUCACUGUGCGCUCGCUGUCUCCUCCUCUCUUCCUCCCUCUCUCUCUCUCUCUCUCUUUUCUUUUUCUCUCUCUGUUUCGCUUGCUCCCCUCUUUCUGCUCCAGCCACACGCAAGGGGGAGACUUAAGCUCUGCGAGGGGAAAAAAAAAAGAAAAAAAGUCUGCUGCUAUUUCUACAGUCAGGGCCUCCCCACAGCCCGCCCUUCCAUAGACGGAGCUUUUUUUUCACUCACUACUAGCUGGAUUUUAACCCUCUGCCUCCAACUAGCUGCACAGCAGCUCUGCAAAACCUGGCAACAAGUUGCUUUUAAGGGGCCUUUUCUCACUUUUGGCACAAUGUUUUUUGCAUUACUCUGGAUUUGGGCGCCGUUUCUUCCGUUCUUUUGAAUUUUGUUUGCUAAAAAUGCACUGCGUCUUCCUAUUUUUCCCCCUGCUGACGGGUUUCUAAUAGUAUUUAUUUACUUUCUUUCUUUUUGGAUGGAAAUUCGUCAAGGUGGUGUUUCGCCAUGUGAUGGGCCUUGUUCCACCUGGAGUGUCGGGGCGCCAUUUUUGACGGGUAACCUGCUCGGGGUUGGCUCUUGGUCUGGAUGACCACUAUGGAUGACAAGCAGAGAACGUGACCAGUAUCUGAGCGCGGUACACAUCUGUGUUUUAAAGAGAUGUCCUUCUUCAGCGCGAAGUACCGCACCUCCUUCGCCUUUACUCUCUUUCCUUCUAUUUCCUUCCCAUGUCCUCUCUCUCUCUCUCUGUCUCUGUGUCUGUCUCUCGCUCCCCCUUGUUCUCUCUCUUUCACACCGACUCGCUCUCCUAACAGAGAAUGAGUGGUGUGCUGAGCUGGAGCUCUUUCUGGGACAGGUGCCAACUGCAAACAAAAGACAUUAAAAGGCAAUAAGAGAAAAAAAUGUAGUAAUUGCAAAAAAUUUUAAUUGUUGCAGCGAAAUGUCAGAAGUAUCCCUGCAUGUCGAGUCUCUACAUGGCCACUUUGCGAUAAAAUUGCAUGUUUGUACGAAGUAUUAAAACUGAUUUUCGCGACCAAGGUUGCUGUUAAAGCAGAGGUUUGAAUACUUUGCCACACUUAUUCCAGUGAAGGCAUUUCAUUCGGGAAGAGGGAGGGAGUAAUGUGGGAGAGCAGCAUAUAGACUGCUGAAUUAUUCAUGUGCCCAGCCAAGGCUGUGACUGGACUGGUUGUGCUAUUUGCAUGCAUCAGACAUGCUGUUUGUCUGUUUGCUAACAUUCCUCAUUCAAAGACUUGUUAACUAGCAGACGGGCUUAGCUGGAGCCUUGCAGACAGCCUCAUGGCCUCCUAUUGUUUCAGGCCUCACCAGGCCUGGACCCAGCCAGUGGCAGGCAAGCCGUGCAGCCCUGAGCUCGGGGCUCAGACUGUGGCUGGAAGAGGGAGUGAGGCUGGAGCUGAGAUAGAGGCUGGGGCUCAGGCUGGAGCUUGGGCUCAGGCUCGGCUGUGAAGGGGACAGUCCGAGGGGGAAUCACUGGGUCUAGCACCAAGCACCAAGCAGGAGCUUAUGGCUUUCUCCUCUUCUUGACAGAGAUGUGGAUCAAAGCGGGAAGACCUGCCGAAUUUCACAUCCCGACCGGACAUUCACCAUCUCUGCUUCAAAAAUUGGCGGUGAGAUGGAUUUUGACUUCAGCCACAGGCACCAACAAUUUGGCCAACAAGUGAAAUCACGGACAGACAGACAGACUGGUGAUCGCAGCAGCAUUAAGUAACAGAUUUUCCCUCUCGGGGAUUUUCAGACGAAGGCUACCUGACAUGCUGCUGAAGCCGUGAUGGAGGGAGGAGGCUGCGUGUUACAGAGCAGGUGAGAAACAUUAACAGAGGCAGCAGCUGCAGCCCUCUGCUGCGCACAUGUGGGCCAGGAUAUGAGCUAGCUUGAGCUCGCCCACUGUCAACACUGGUCACUAUUGUUAACACUCUCCUCUCUGAAACACACAACCAGAACGGAGGAAAAAAAGGCGUAAGGCAGUGGAAUCCGUGCAGAUUUAAUACAAAAUAAAAACUUUAAAAAAAAUAAUUUAUUGUAUGUUGUGAGCAGCAAUGCUUUGCUUUAGAACUGUGGUUCACAAUCUCUUGGGCUUGUGACCAUUUAAAACAAAGCUUUUUUUUGUAUUUUUGCACAUUUUCAAACCAAAGAAAUUAGAUGUCUGAAGAAGUAAAACUUUCAAGUAUUUUAUUAUAGAAAAAAGCAAAUAAUAUAAAAAAUAUUAAAUAUAUUUUCUAUCUUAAAUCAUUACUUGACAUCUUUUAAGAAAUGUUGUAAAGUGGUAACGCUCUCAUUUGCCACCAUCUUUCAGCAUUAAUCAUCAGCCUAUUGAACACAGUCUAAAAUAUGAUCUGCAUAUUUUAUUAUGAAAAUUUUGUCCUUAUUUUAGAUGUCACAGUACCCUUAAACUUGUAUGCAGGUCACAUUUGAAAAUGGAAAUACCUUGCCAUACAAUUUGUUUGGGAAAUAUACCCCUAGUUAGAUCAUUUGAAUUCCCCCCUGUGCUCCAGUAGUGAACCGGGUGACCCAGUAGUCACGUUGUGUUCUGAGCACACAGACUCCAGUCACACCGGUGUGGUGUCCCAGAGGAGAGUGGCAUGUGUAUUUGUGUUUCAGUGAAUCAUAACUGCUGUUUUGCAUUCGUCGAGGUGUGUCAAAGCGGAUUACCUGCAUGACCGGGGACCUGAAAUGACUUUUUUUUUUAAAGACUGUCCUUUGGGGUGAGGUAGUAGGUUGUAUAGUUUUAGGGUCAUACCCUUCCUGUCAGAUAACUAUACAACUUACUGUCUUUCCUGAAGUGGCUGUAAUGUCGUCAGAUGCCGUCGUUGGAGCUUUUGGAUUUUGAUCAACACUGGAAUGUGCAUGUUUACCCACAGACUGCUAAGAACAUAAUUCAUUUACAGCGUAUCAUCUUGGUCGGUCAUUGAGGAUUCUAGUUGCUUUACCUUGUCUUUCUUUUAUAGCUACACUACUGGUCAAAAGUUUUAGAACACACCAACUUUUCCAGAAUUUAAUUGAAAAUGAUGCAGUUUAAUGUCUCAGUCUAUUCUGAAAUGAAUGCACAUUUGCAACAUUUAAAAUUCUUUAUUGAGCAUGAUAGUGUUUUUAAAAUAAAAAAAAGAUUCAAAAUCACAUUUUAUGUUGAACUAAAGGACUAAAAAAGACACAAAAUGACCAAAAAAAGACACAAAAUGACAAAAAAAGACACAAAAUGACUUACAAAGACAUGAAAAGAAUUAAAAAAUGGACAAAAUAGCCCAAGACUCCAUAGAGUUAAGUUGUUAACCCAUUUCUUGUUCCCUGAAAAAAGGCCUACUUGCAUAAUUCUGAAAUGUACAUUAUCUUUCAGUUUUGGUUAUCCUUACCUUUUUUUAUUUACCUCUGGCAGUUCACCACUUACCUUUGUACCCUUUCAAGCUGUUCAUUUGACUUGAACUGCUUGAAUUUCAAUAAAAAAUGGAAAAAUUGGGGUGUUCUAAAACUUUUGACCGGUAGUGUACAUUUAAAGACCUUAGAUUUGUUAUAUUUUGCAUUUUGACAUAAAAAAACUAGUUGUUAUCUUCUUUCCUUAGCUCUUCAUUAAUCUUUCUUUUAUUCCCUCAUCACUGAAUUUAAGGAUUUUUUUCUGUUAAGUUCUGGCUGCUUGUAAUUUCAGUAUUUUAGAAAUUAAAACAAAAACUUAGUCGUUAUCUGCCAUUGUAAGCUGCUUUAGAUAUGAAGUGUGUUCGCCUUCCAAACUGUGAAAAUGUAGUUGUACGAGGAUGUUUUUUUAUGUUUUAUGUGUCACUCCACCUGAGGGCUCUCCUGUACAAGUUGCAGCAGAGCCUUCAAACCCGUUGGACCUUUCUGAUGUUCGAACGGGGUGAGGUAGUAGGUUGUGUGGUUUCAGGGUAGUGAUUUUGCCCAAUCGGGAGAUAACUAUACAACCUACUGCCUUCCCUGAAGGGCAGCAAUACUUCACCAUGCAGACAACAGGAGGCAUCUUGUUCACAGUAAUCAAAAAAACCCUCCCAAACUCAACGAACAGACCCUGAGCCACCAGUACUCCUGGUUUCCCCUGAAAAAUCAUAGCAGCAGAGAGCAACAGCAGGUAAAUUCUGUACACUAUGAAUUCUUUUGUAUUUGAUGUGUUUGAUUUAAACAUCAAUAAAGAAAAAGAUGAUGAA